This is a non-coding RNA of Ciona savignyi (Pacific transparent sea squirt), 82 nucleotides long. NCBI's taxonomy places the organism in Eukaryota, Metazoa, Chordata, Ascidiacea, Phlebobranchia, Cionidae. The record is from Rfam.
GUCGUCGUGGCCGACUGGUAAAGGCGACAGACUAGAAAUCUGUUGGGCUCUGCCCGCACAGGUUCGAAUCCUGUCGGCGACG